This 609-nucleotide long non-coding RNA is filed under the name Malus domestica (apple). Its description in RNAcentral is "long non-coding RNA (MDOM_LNC016523)". The record is from RNAcentral. Lineage: Eukaryota; Viridiplantae; Streptophyta; Magnoliopsida; Rosales; Rosaceae.
AAGCAUGCUAUUGAUUUGCAUAACACAUAUUCAAGAUGAAGUUGUGUAGUGACCACCAAAGCCAAAUUUCCGUGCCCCUAUUUCAUUAUGUGUUUAAGUUUAACCCUGUUGAGCCUUGUUAAACCUAUGUUCUUUGUUAAUCCACACUAUCCUUACCUAGCCUAGUUUUAGGACCAUCCAUACCCUUGUUCUUGAAGCAUAGUAAAGCAUGACUUAAAAUGAACUCCUUUUUUAUCAAUGUAUUGCAGAAAGCAAGUGUGGGGGAAGUGAUUCUUGUUUGUGUAUGUGUGCCAAAGUCCUUAAUAAGGCACGGGUAGAAAAGAAAAAAAAAAGAGUGAAAAGAAAAAAGUUUGUUAAAAAAGGGUCCAAAACAUUGAAUUCAGCCCUAAGUGUUGCAUAAAUCUUCCCUUUGUAUUUAAAAGUUAAUCCUGCAUUCUAAAGUGAACUUCAAGUGUCUAUUUCAUUGCUUUGCUUGCCAUCGCUUUAAGAACGUUUGUUAUUCCUAUCCUUUCUUUAUUAGCCAUUACCCCCAAGCCCUAUUACAACCCUUGACUUCAAUCUUGAGUGUUGUGUGUUUCAAUUUGUGGAGUUCGAAAUUGGUAUGAGCAU